RNAcentral lists this long non-coding RNA (543 nucleotides) under Arabidopsis lyrata. RNAcentral describes it as "long non-coding RNA (ALYR_LNC002703)". The record is from RNAcentral. Lineage: Eukaryota; Viridiplantae; Streptophyta; Magnoliopsida; Brassicales; Brassicaceae.
UGUUUUGCCGCUCGGUUGUCCCGAUCGGCUGGAAACCGAUCGAAUAUUUUUUCGUUUAACACUACUUAUCGGGUUUCUUGAUCGGUUGAAAAUCGAUCGGAGCCUCUUUAGUGAUUUUUCAUUGUUUUGCCAAUCGGUUGGUCUGAUCGGUUGUAAACGGAUCGGAGCUCCAUUUCCGCCUUUUUGGCUCGGCUUCCUUCGCUUUGAUCUCGUGCUCUCCUGCAACUCCAAGUGUGCUGAAAUAUAUACACAAACCACAGAAGAAUGUGCAAUAUACAUUCGACAACUCUUAAAGUACUAUAAAACUCAAUAUAUCACAAAAUGACCAUAAUAUACUUAUUAUUCAAAGAAUAUGUAUAUGAAACAUACAAAUAUCAUGAGGCAAACCAUGGUGAAAUACAUGUAUAUCACCACCCCGGACUUGCUUUUUGCUUGUCCUCAACCAAACAAGUUAUCAAAUAAGCUCAAAUUAAUUUCCUGAACAAGAUUAUGCAUUUAGAAUUUUGAAGUUCAGACAUGAUUUUUGAAGAAAUGAUUUUUUUU